GUCCCUGUAGCAUUGCGGAUAGCAAAUUGGAUUUCUAAUCCAAAGGUCGUGGGUUCAAAUACCACCAGGGAUG
This is a non-coding RNA of Trichonephila inaurata madagascariensis, 73 nucleotides long. The record is from the annotation of a GenBank genome assembly. Lineage: Eukaryota; Metazoa; Arthropoda; Arachnida; Araneae; Nephilidae.